This is a non-coding RNA of Gymnothorax javanicus (giant moray), 72 nucleotides long. The record is from the annotation of a GenBank genome assembly. NCBI's taxonomy places the organism in Eukaryota, Metazoa, Chordata, Actinopteri, Anguilliformes, Muraenidae.
GGCACACUGGCGCAGGGUUAGCACUACUGCUUCACAGCACGAAGGUUGCGGGUUCGAGUCCAGCCUGGGCUA